GACGAACGCUGGCGGCGUGCUUAACACAUGCAAGUCGAACGGAAAGGCCCUGCUUUUGUGGGGUGCUCGAGUGGCGAACGGGUGAGUAACACGUGAGUAACCUGCCCUUGACUUUGGGAUAACUUCAGGAAACUGGGGCUAAUACCUGAUAGGAGCUCCUGCCGCAUGGUGGGGGUUGGAAAGUUUCGGCUGUUGGGGAUGGACUCGCGGCUUAUCAGCUUGUUGGUGGGGUAGUGGCUUACCAAGGCUUUGACGGGUAGCAGGCAUGAGAGGGUGACCGGCGACAUUGGGACUGAGAUACGGACCAGAAUACAACGGGAGGCAGCAGUGGGGAAUAGUGCACAAUGGGAGGAAGCCUGAUGCAGAAACGCAGCGAGCGGGAUGACGGCCUUCGGGUUGUAAAAAGAUGUAGAAUGUGACGAAGAGUGAGUGACGGUAAUGGGUAAAGAAGCACCGGCUAACUACGUG
This 468-nucleotide ribosomal RNA is filed under the name uncultured bacterium. RNAcentral's name for it is "partial 16S ribosomal RNA". It matches the Rfam family "Bacterial small subunit ribosomal RNA", at positions 28 to 507 of the family's 1533-position model. The record is from RNAcentral.